Molecule: transfer RNA, 63 nt
Filed under: Sinopoppia nigroflagella
Lineage: Eukaryota; Metazoa; Arthropoda; Insecta; Hymenoptera; Tenthredinidae
Description: tRNA-Gly
Source: RNAcentral
AUUUAUAUAAUAUAUAAAGUAUAAUUGAUUUCCAAUCAAAAAGUCUAAAAUUUAGUAUAAAUA